This is a long non-coding RNA of Passer domesticus (house sparrow), 662 nucleotides long. RefSeq lists it as uncharacterized. The record is from RefSeq and is a predicted model, not a curated record. Lineage: Eukaryota; Metazoa; Chordata; Aves; Passeriformes; Passeridae. The transcript has 3 exons.
GCUCAGACCCCACCUGCAGGGCUGCAUCCAGCUCUGGGCUCCCAGCACAGCAAGGACAGGGACCUGCUGGAGCCAGGCCAGAGCAGGCACCGAGGGGAUGGGGGGCUGGAACACCUCCUGGAUUAAGGCAGGCUAAGAGAUCUGGGGCUGUUCCGCUGGAAAAGAGAAAGCUUUAGGGUGUCCUAAUUGUGGCCUUCCGGCACCUGCAGAAAACUUGCAGAAAAGAUAAGCAAUUGUCACUACAAUUCUGUAGUGACAGAAGAAGGAAAAAUGGCCUGAAUUGAAAGAGAUUUUUCUGUUAGGUGAGGAGAACAGAAUUCUUCGACAGUGUGUCACGGACUGAAGUGGUUCAUGCCUUGAACAUUGUUAUGAAGGAGUUUUGCCCAUUAUAGCAAAAACUGCAUAAAGAAGCGACAACCUCAGAAGCCCAUCCCUCCUUCAAGAUGCCUGACUGGAACUUUACACUGGGGGACCCUCACCACCAAGGCAACCUGCUGGAGAGGAUCAACAGAACACUGGAAUUCACAAAGUAGUGAUACUUUCUUUGGUCUGUCUCUGUCACUCUCUGUCCCGCCACCUCUUUUCUAUUCCUUUCUUUCUCUCUCUCCUUCUCUCUCUCUCUCUCUCUCUCUCUCUCUGUCUCUCUCAUAUUUAUAAUUAAA